This 253-nucleotide ribosomal RNA is filed under the name uncultured bacterium. RNAcentral describes it as "partial 16S ribosomal RNA". It matches the Rfam family "Bacterial small subunit ribosomal RNA", at positions 524 to 776 of the family's 1533-position model. The record is from RNAcentral.
UACGGAGGGUGCAGGCGUUAAUCGGAAUUACUGGGCGUAAAGCGUGCGCAGGCGGUCUUUUAAGUCAGAUGUGAAAUCCCCGGGCUUAACCUGGGAACUGCGUUUGAAACUGGAAGGCUAGAGUGUGGCAGAGGGGGGUGGAAUUCCACGUGUAGCAGUGAAAUGCGUAGAGAUGUGGAGGAACACCGAUGGCGAAGGCGGCGUUCUGGACUGCUACUGACACUGAGGAACGAAAGCCAGGGGAGCAAACGGG